ACAGCAGCAGCCACGGGAAAACAGAGGGUGCAAGCGUUAAUCGGAAUUACUGGGCGUAAAGCGCGCGUAGGUGGUUUGUUAAGUUGGAUGUGAAAGCCCCGGGCUCAACCUGGGAACUGCAUCCAAAACUGGCAAGCUAGAGUACGGUAGAGGGUGGUGGAAUUUCCUGUGUAGCGGUGAAAUGCGUAGAUAUAGGAAGGAACACCAGUGGCGAAGGCGACCACCUGGACUGAUACUGACACUGAGGUGCGAAAGCGUGGGGAGCAAACAGGAUUAGAUACCCUUGUAGUCUCUGUCUCUUAUAC
Molecule: ribosomal RNA, 305 nt
Filed under: uncultured bacterium
Lineage: Bacteria
Description: partial 16S ribosomal RNA
Rfam family: Bacterial small subunit ribosomal RNA
Source: RNAcentral